Molecule: ribosomal RNA, 801 nt
Filed under: uncultured bacterium
Lineage: Bacteria
Description: bacterial SSU rRNA
Rfam family: Bacterial small subunit ribosomal RNA
Source: RNAcentral
GCGGCAGCGCGGGGGCAACCCUGGCGGCGAGCGGCGAACGGGUGAGUAACAUAUCGGAACGUACCCCGUCGUGGGGGAUAACACAGCGAAAGCUGUGCUAAUACCGCAUACGACCUGAGGGUGAAAGCGGGGGACCGUAAGGCCUCGCGCGAUGGGAGCGGCCGAUAUCGGAUUAGCUUGUUGGUGAGGUAAAGGCUCACCAAGGCGACGAUCCGUAGCUGGUCUGAGAGGACGACCAGCCACACUGGAACUGAGACACGGUCCAGACUCCUACGGGAGGCAGCAGUGGGGAAUUUUGGACAAUGGGGGCAACCCUGAUCCAGCCAUUCCGCGUGAGUGAAGAAGGCCUUCGGGUUGUAAAGCUCUUUCAGCAGGAACGAAACGGUGGCCCCUAAUACGGGCUACUAAUGACGGUACCUGAAGAAGAAGCACCGGCUAACUACGUGCCAGCAGCCGCGGUAAUACGUAGGGUGCGAGCGUUAAUCGGAAUUACUGGGCGUAAAGCGUGCGCAGGCGGUUAUGUAAGACAGGUGUGAAAUCCCCGGGCUCAACCUGGGAACUGCGCUUGUGACUGCAUAACUCGAGUGUGGCAGAGGGGGGUGGAAUUCCACGUGUAGCAGUGAAAUGCGUAGAGAUGUGGAGGAACACCGAUGGCGAAGGCAGCCCCCUGGGUCAACACUGACGCUCAUGCACGAAAGCGUGGGGAGCAAACAGGAUUAGAUACCCUGGUAGUCCACGCCCUAAACGAUGCGAACUAGGUGUUGGGGAAGGAGACUUUCUUAGUACCGCAGCUAACGCGUG